RNAcentral lists this transfer RNA (81 nucleotides) under Symploca sp. SIO2G7. RNAcentral's name for it is "tRNA-Leu". It matches the Rfam family "tRNA". From Rfam's summary of the family: Transfer RNA (tRNA) molecules are approximately 80 nucleotides in length. Their secondary structure includes four short double-helical elements and three loops (D, anti-codon, and T loops). The record is from RNAcentral. Lineage: Bacteria; Bacillati; Cyanobacteriota; Cyanophyceae; Coleofasciculales; Coleofasciculaceae.
GCUCCCGUGGCGGAAUAGGUAGACGCACUCAGUUGAGGGCUGAGUUUUUUGUUGCAGGUUCGACUCCUGUCGGGAGUACCA